UUUGCUGAGCUGCUAAUGAUUUAUGGUAAAUGCAAUUAUUUCUGCAAUGAAUUUUCCGUGUCUCCCUAAAGUAAAACUACAAAGCUUUGUUUCAUUAAUUUCUCAAUUAUGUCAAAUUUUUACAUAAUUUAACUCUACCACUAACUUAAUUGCACUUAAUAAUCUAUGUAUUUUAUCUUUACACCUGGAAAUCAAAUACUGUGUUUUGGCAUAUGUCUAAGAAAAAUGUGGACAUUUGAGUAAAAUAAAAUAUUUUUGUCAUUGAGAAAAUAUUUCAUUAGUUGAAUAAACAUUUUAUGAGUUCAACAUUUUAUUAUGAAUUUGUUUAAAUAGUCAAUGAAAGCAAAAAUGAGCUUUCCAAAUGCACUGAAACAACAACAAGAAGUUGCCAAUUAUGAUGAUUGUCUAUAGCCUCAAUUUAAAUAACUAGA
This 431-nucleotide long non-coding RNA is filed under the name Bos taurus (domestic cattle). RNAcentral describes it as "long non-coding RNA NONBTAT026141". Lineage: Eukaryota; Metazoa; Chordata; Mammalia; Artiodactyla; Bovidae. The record is from RNAcentral.